GUUCACUUUUAAUGGCUUCUAUUUGUACUGAAAUGUACAUAUGAUUAGAUUAGAGAAUGUUAAUGAAAGUAGUCCUUUGAAAGUUGGACUCAGAGAUACCUGGAGAUUUGAAGGCAAUCCUGUUGAGAAAGCCCAGCGAAACUCAUUUGAGCACACUAAGCUCAUCUAAAGUUGUCAAUAGGGCAUUGGUCUACAAGUAAUGACAGCGUCGCCUCACAAUAUCGGCUGCUUGAUACGACAAACAGGGUAUUUCCUCUCUAGAGAGACAAAACUAUGACAGUACAUUGUAUAAACAUGUAGGUCAAGCAGUAUGAGGAUUAUUGGCAAGGAGGAUAACUUUAGAAUGUUUUAAAGGACAUAGUUUUGCAUCAAAUGCUUCUGUCUUUACUUUACUGGAUCUCAGUGCUCAUUUGCUGCAGUAAAAUAUUAGCAAACAGUACAGUUGAUGGGUAUUUGUGAAACUGCUAAACAUCUAACUUAGCAAAUCAAGACUUCAUUACGUCAUUUGGAAAAGCUGUGUCUGAGUGAACACCAGUCACAUGCGGUGUUCCUCCAGGCGCCAUCGUCUGGCCACGUUUAUUUACAAAUUCACUUGCUUAACAUAACUAUGCUGAUGACACAUUUUAUUUUAUAAGACCCUUAUAGUCACUUAGUCUGCUUUUUUCCCCCUUUUUGGUAUCCAAAAUGAGAUGUUUGAGAUCAGCACUCAACUAGAUCCAAUUAAGCUAAAAAUAACAAAACAUGCAAGCAACUUUGGUGUGGUUUUAGACCCAGACCUACAAAGCCAAAGGUGUAAAGUGAAAAAUUUGUUUCCCUAGGAUAUGUCAUAUUUAUGGUGCCUUCACCGGCAUAUGUAAGAAAAUUAAUCAGAGCUUAACCCAAACCUGGUUGCCACAGUCCUGACCAGCACCAGGAAAAUGGAUCACACCACAGGAUUGCACCCAGUCCCUGUUAGUAAAAGGAUAUAUUUUUAAAUGGUGUUAUUGAACUACACAGAAUGGUGCUGGACCUGAACGUCUCGUGGGAACCUUUUAGACACAUCAGGUCUUCAGAGACUCGUUAACUCAGUGUUGCUAGGACCGGCGCGGGCAACAUUUAGUUUCUACGCUCCCCGGCUCUGGAACAAACUCCCUGUAAGCCCGACGUCCAGAAACUAUUGGAUUCUUUAAAUCGGGACUGGAAGCAUUAUUAGCUCUUACAAAAGACUUCAAGGCCGGAUUAAGGCGCUUUUUUUGCUGCCUCCCUGUGUUUUGUGAAAGGAUCGAUGCACCAAAGUGGGCAAAUGUCAGGCUGCUUUUAUCACGGCCCUGACUCGCCGGGUGAGGAGGUCACCGGUCACCGUCAUUGGCUGACAUCAACAGGUUUUUUGCACUUUGAACUAUCUUGUGUAUGGAUCACGCUGUGCUAAUAAACAUGCCCAGCCUUG
This is a long non-coding RNA of Xiphophorus hellerii (green swordtail), 1426 nucleotides long. RefSeq lists it as uncharacterized. The transcript is spliced from 2 exons. Lineage: Eukaryota; Metazoa; Chordata; Actinopteri; Cyprinodontiformes; Poeciliidae. The record is from RefSeq and is a predicted model, not a curated record.